CGAACGGGUGAGUAAUGCGUGACCAACCUGCCCCAUGCUCCAGAAUAGCUCUUGGAAACGGGUGGUAAUGCUGGAUGCUCCAACUUGACGCAUGUCUUGUUGGGAAAGUGUUUAGUGGCAUGGGAUGGGGUCGCGUCCUAUCAGCUUGUAGGCGGGGUAAUGGCCCACCUAGGCUUCGACGGGUAGCCGGCCUGAGAGGGCGGACGGCCACAUUGGGACUGAGAUACGGCCCAGACUCCUCGGAGGCAGCAGGC
This 254-nucleotide ribosomal RNA is filed under the name uncultured Gardnerella sp. RNAcentral describes it as "partial 16S ribosomal RNA". It matches the Rfam family "Bacterial small subunit ribosomal RNA", at positions 99 to 354 of the family's 1533-position model. Lineage: Bacteria; Bacillati; Actinomycetota; Actinomycetes; Bifidobacteriales; Bifidobacteriaceae. The record is from RNAcentral.